GCCGCAGCAGAUUCUGCAUGAUGCGUUGCACGCGGUCAUCGGGCCCAUGGGGACGGCUCCAGUGUGACCACGGCAGAAUGUGGCCCGGCGGUGACGAGAGCCCUUGAGACCAGAAGAUCGUCGCGGCAUUGAACACGAUGUUUUGCUUCGGGCCCGGGUAAAUUGUCGACGUCCAGUGUCCCGGCGUGAUGCCGCUGCGCCAACUUGUGCCUUCCGCGACCACUUCCAGC
RNAcentral lists this unclassified non-coding RNA (230 nucleotides) under uncultured bacterium. Its description in RNAcentral is "contains 16S-23S intergenic spacer region". The record is from RNAcentral.